RNAcentral lists this ribosomal RNA (441 nucleotides) under uncultured bacterium. Its description in RNAcentral is "partial 16S ribosomal RNA". It matches the Rfam family "Bacterial small subunit ribosomal RNA", at positions 338 to 795 of the family's 1533-position model. The record is from RNAcentral.
CCUACGGGAGGCAGCAGUGGGGAAUAUUGCACAAUGGGGGAAACCCUGAUGCAGCGACGCCGCGUGAGUGAAGACGUAUUUCGGUAUGUAAAGCUCUAUCAGUAGGGAAGAAGAUAGACGGUACCUUACCAAGAAGCCCCGGCUAACUACGUGCCAGCAGCCGCGGUAAUACGUAGGGGGCAAGCGUUAUCCGGAUUUACUGGGUGUAAAGGGAGCGUAGACGGCUGUGCAAGUCUGAAGUGAAAGCCCAGGGUUCAACCCUGGGACUGCUUUGGAAACUGUGGAGCUAGAGUGCUGGAGAGGUAAGUGGAAUUCCUGGUGUAGCGGUGAAAUGCAUAGAUAUUAGGAGGAACACCAGUGGCGAAGGCGGCUUACUGGACAGUAACUGACGUUGAGGCUCGAAAGCGUGGGGAGCAAACAGGAUUAGAUACCCGUGUAGUC